Long non-coding RNA from Alligator mississippiensis (American alligator), 1500 nucleotides. RefSeq lists it as uncharacterized. NCBI's taxonomy places the organism in Eukaryota, Metazoa, Chordata, Crocodylia, Alligatoridae. The record is from RefSeq and is a predicted model, not a curated record. The transcript is spliced from 2 exons.
CUCCCAAAGGUCAAGGUUCUGUACAGCAAAGGUUCCCAACCCCCGGGCUGCAAAAGGUUGGCUGCCAGCCCACAGGAGGGUUGGCUGCCACACUCGGAUGCUCCCAGAUCCUUUGAAGGGCAAUGCAGGAAGUGUGAGGAGAGACGUGGAUAAAAACAGGCUCAGGCUUCAGAUGUAGGAAGAUAAGUAAAUAUGGGCAGGCUCAGGCUCCCCCUGCCUAACUGCUCCCUCACCUCCACUGCCUGUCCCCUCUCCAAGAAGAAAUAACGCCUGCCACGGGGUCUAAGAGAAUUCAGCCUUGCUAUCAGUCUUUCUACAGAUCAGCUGAGAAGGAAGAUAACAGUAUGCAGCACUUCCAACUGGAUGAACUCAGCAAGCCAACACUUAAAUUAUACCACUUAAAUGACCAAUACUUAAAUUCAUUAGUUCUACAAAAGGGACAUAGUGGAUGGUUUCUAAAGUGCUCAUUGUGGUUACUGCUGCUGGCAAGAAUUACUAGUCUUGAAAAUGGAACAUUACUCUGCUAAUUUUGAUAUAAAAUAUUACAUACACAGUGUGUGUGAGUGCGUGUGAGAAUUUAUAAAAUGUGCCUAAUUUUCCAACUCAGAGAUAAGGCUCAUCAAAAGGUGGGGAAAGAAAGCCUGCCUUUAAAUUAAUUAACUUGCCUAUAAAGAAUAUUGGGAUUUGCUUCCUGUACUUCAACCUCCGGUUGUGGAGCAGGCUGAAAGAGCUAAUUCCAGAAUCUUGUGUUCUUUACUAAGAAAGAAAGAAGACACCAGUCCUUGCACAUUUAAAGAGUGCUGUCUCAAAAGCUGCUUGAGCAGUUCUGUCUAAGCUAUAGGAUAUUGUUAUUGCAAGGUCCUGUGACUUUUUACUAAAACUUGUCAUAACAUUGUUUUUCUAAAAACACAGAAGUUAAAAAAAAUAAUAAUACUAAUUGUUGAAGUUUCCUAUGUAAAACUGAAAAGUGCGUUCAUUUGGUUUGGUUUUAAUUCUGAAAUGCCACUUCACUGCCUUAUGAGCAGGCUUGGCAGAAUUUUAUUUUAUUUUUUAAUAAUUUUGACAGAUAAUAUUGAUGUCUAUUUUUAAGCAUUUAUUUUGAUUUUUAUUGAUUUGAAUUUUGAGGACUGCAGUAUAACUGCCCCCUACAACAAACACAGCUACUAUAGGACUGCCAUCAGCUGAGUGGCAGAGCUGCUAUCAGUCCCAGUUCCACUUGCCCAUAUCUCCCUCAUCUGCUUUGUCACUUCCUCUUCCUUUGUUCCCAGUUACCUGGGGUUUCUGGAAGUUGCAGUCUAAACUACAUUCAGCAUAGUUCUGUAGGACUGAUUGAUCUGUUGUCAUAUAUUCCACCAGGCAUCAUUUUUCUUACACCCCCGCACCUUUCUAUACAUUUUGAUUAUUAGCAAUGGAAAUAUUUUUUUUCAUUGGUCUGUAAGUGUGAGGUGAAAUCAACAUUUAUCAACAUUUACCAAUAAAAAUUGAAUCCUGUCAAGCCUA